Molecule: long non-coding RNA, 298 nt
Filed under: Phoenix dactylifera (date palm)
Lineage: Eukaryota; Viridiplantae; Streptophyta; Magnoliopsida; Arecales; Arecaceae
Description: long non-coding RNA (PDAC_LNC015535)
Source: RNAcentral
GAGGAUUUAUCUUUGAGUCCUUAAACUUGUUCGCGACCAAAUAAUAUGUUGUUACUAGGACGACAACAUUAUCGAGAUUAGGUCGUUGUGUGACAUAUACGUUGGUUGUCCUCUUAACCAAGGAGUGUGGAGACACUGGUAUGCCAUACAGGUGAAGUGUAGGAGUACAUUUCACUGAACGUAACCAAUUCCGGAAUGCUCUACUGUCGAGAGAUGUUUCGAGUGGAUAUGGGUAUAAGUUUGGCCCUCUGACCUGAGACCGCAACCUAUGACUAGCAAGCAACUCACUGUACUUUGG